GAUGAACGCUAGCGAUAGGCCUAACACAUGCAAGUCGAGGGGCAUCACAUGAAGUAGCAAUACGGAUGGUGGCGACCGGCGCACGGGUGAGUAACACGUAUGCAACCUGCCUUCGACAAGGGGAUAACCCGUUGAAAGACGGACUAAUACCCUAUAACACAGGGGUCCCGCAUGGGAAUAUUUGUUAAAGGACAACCGGUUGAAGAUGGGCAUGCGUUCCAUUAGCUAGUUGGCGGGGUAACGGCCCACCAAGGCAACGAUGGAUAGGGGAACUGAGAGGUUUAUCCCCCACACUGGUACUGAGACACGGACCAGACUCCUACGGGAGGCAGCAGUGAGGAAUAUUGGUCAAUGGACGCAAGUCUGAACCAGCCACGUCGCGUGAAGGAA
Molecule: ribosomal RNA, 390 nt
Filed under: uncultured bacterium
Lineage: Bacteria
Description: bacterial SSU rRNA
Rfam family: Bacterial small subunit ribosomal RNA
Source: RNAcentral